GGUGAUACCAUCAGUAGUUUCUACUUGUUUAUUAUGAUGAUCUUUUUUCUCACAUGAAACAUAACAAGGUUACCAACUCCAAACUCACCCAAUGAAAUAGGAAAAAAAUAAAAUUCCCACUUAGAGGGAGAUGUCUACUUAUAUAUACCAUGUAUGCAUAUUACAUAUAUUUAUGUAUGUUAAGAGAGAAAUGGACCUACAUUCGUACGAGGGAAAUCUACUCAUAUUAACUAUUGGAAGGUCAACUAUGAAGUUAGAUGGUACAAACAUAGAAAUCUUGGCUACAUUAGAGAGGAGAGAAAAAGGCAAAGCCUUUGGUUGUGCACUUCUCAUUCUCCCAGUCUCUUCCUCUUUUGAUCUUGCUACUCUUGAUCCCACUCUCUAUGCUUGCAUUUUCAUCCUCCAUGCAUUCCAUCCUCCCAUCUUUGCUAUCCCAUCCAAAAUUAGCAUUGUUGUGACUUAGCUGCCAAGGCCUUCUCUUCCUAGUAUUUGCCUUCCCUCCCUCACAUGAUCUCUCCACUUGCGUAGGCCUAGGGCUCUCUCAAUGUGGUUGUUGCUUUAUUGCAUAGUGAUCCUUGAGAUUUGAGGUUGUUAAUGGCCAUGGUGAUGCUUGUGUUUAACACCAAGAUUACAAGAGAUUUUUGGUUUAGUGGGGGUGAUGGAGAAUAGAGGUACUGAAGGAGAUCGGGAAACUGGAGAAGAAAG
Molecule: long non-coding RNA, 705 nt
Filed under: Elaeis guineensis (African oil palm)
Lineage: Eukaryota; Viridiplantae; Streptophyta; Magnoliopsida; Arecales; Arecaceae
Description: long non-coding RNA (EGUI_LNC026398)
Source: RNAcentral